This is a small nucleolar RNA of Sparus aurata (gilthead seabream), 136 nucleotides long. Lineage: Eukaryota; Metazoa; Chordata; Actinopteri; Spariformes; Sparidae. The record is from Ensembl.
UGCAGCCUUGUCAAAUUCAGUGUGUUCUUUUCAGUGGACUUCACUGGCCAAAAUGGCUGCGACAGAGACUUGUAGUUCAUGGGCCUCACCUUCUUACAUCAUGGGAAGUGGGGAUAAAUAUGUACUGCAGACAAAA